UACGGAGGGUGCGAGCGUUGUCCGGAAUCACUGGGCGUAAAGGGCGCGUAGGCGGCAUGCCAAGCGUGUGGUGAAAGCCCGGGGCUCAACCCCGGGUCGGCCGUGCGGACUGGCGUGCUCGAGCACUGUAGGGGCGGGUGGAAUUCCGGGUGUAGCGGUGGAAUGCGUAGAGAUCCUGAAGAACACCGGUGGCGAAGGCGGCCCGCUGGGCAGGAAGGCUCGCAAGAGCCGGCUGACGCUGAGGCGCGACAGCGUGGGGAGCAAACAGG
Molecule: ribosomal RNA, 269 nt
Filed under: uncultured bacterium
Lineage: Bacteria
Description: partial 16S ribosomal RNA
Rfam family: Bacterial small subunit ribosomal RNA
Source: RNAcentral